CAGUAGCCACGGGAAUACGUAGGUGGCAAGCGUUGUCCGGAAUUAUUGGGCGUAAAGUGCGCGCAGGCGGAUCAGUCAGUCUGUCUUAAAAGUUCGGGGCUUAACCCCGUGAGGGGAUGGAAACUGCUGAUCUAGAGUAUCGGAGAGGAAAGUGGAAUUCCUAGUGUAGCGGUGAAAUGCGUAGAUAUUAGGAAGAACACCAGUGGCGAAGGCGACUUUCUGGACGAAAACUGACGCUGAGGCGCGAAAGCCAGGGGAGCGAACGGGAUUGGAUACCCCCGUAGUCCCUGUCUCUUAUACA
This 301-nucleotide ribosomal RNA is filed under the name uncultured bacterium. Its description in RNAcentral is "partial 16S ribosomal RNA". It matches the Rfam family "Bacterial small subunit ribosomal RNA", at positions 509 to 809 of the family's 1533-position model. The record is from RNAcentral.